GCCCCCGUAGCUCAGCGGACAGAGCGGUGGCCUUCUAAUCCACUGGUCGGAGGUUCGAAUCCUCCCGGGGGCA
RNAcentral lists this transfer RNA (73 nucleotides) under Acidimicrobiaceae bacterium. RNAcentral's name for it is "tRNA-Arg". It matches the Rfam family "tRNA". Rfam says of the family: Transfer RNA (tRNA) molecules are approximately 80 nucleotides in length. Their secondary structure includes four short double-helical elements and three loops (D, anti-codon, and T loops). Lineage: Bacteria; Bacillati; Actinomycetota; Acidimicrobiia; Acidimicrobiales; Acidimicrobiaceae. The record is from RNAcentral.